This 1005-nucleotide long non-coding RNA is filed under the name Equus caballus (horse). RNAcentral's name for it is "lncRNA (ENSECAG00000055253.1)". The record is from RNAcentral. Lineage: Eukaryota; Metazoa; Chordata; Mammalia; Perissodactyla; Equidae.
CAUAUAAAGUAGAGGAAGAUAGGCAUGGAUGUUAGCUCAGGGCCUGUCUUCCUCAGCAAAAAGAGGAGGAUUGGCGGCAGAUGUUAGCUCAGGUCUAAUCUUCCUCAAAAUAAAUAAAUAAAUAAUUACAGAGAUAGAUCAAGGAUAGUUGUUUUCCGAAUAAAAUUUUUAUACCAUUGCACCAAGUGUUUACCUAAACCCAACUUAUCCUAAGAAUCUUGCAUCUGAUUGCCCUAGGCUUCUCUAGGAGAAUCUUCAAACAAGCUUCCUAAAUUAUAAUCUUAAUCUAAAGCAUUACCUAAAUUUUUUUAUCCUAAUUAACACACGUCAUUCUAGCUAAUUUAUAAUAUGAAACAUUGUAAAUAGUUGAAUAAUCCUGCUUAAAACCCUUAGAUGACUUCUCAUUGCUCUUAGAAUAACGACAAAAGUCUUAACUAUGGCCUUCCUCUCCUUCUCAGCCUUAUUCCAUGCCCCCUGCUCCCUCAGCCCACCCACUUCAGCCACAUUUGCCUCCUCACACUUCCUGUAAAGCAUCAAGCUCCCGCUUGCCUCGGGCCUUUCUUCCUGCAGUUCCGUUUAGCUGGAACGCUGGCCUUCCCAGGCCCACUCUCCCACCCACACUCCUAACUGGUGUGCCUCAGGCCUCAGCUCACACAUCCUUUCCUAGAGCCUUCCCGACUCUGCAACCUGAGUCAGCUGCCUCUUGCCCCGCCUCAUGGCAACGUGUACUUUUACUUCAGAGUGCUCAUCAAAGUUGUAAACACAUAUUUUUUGUGAGUUUUUACAAAUUAACAUCUGUUUCCCCCCACUCUCACUAUGAUUUAUAUGCUCCAUGAGGGCAGGAAUGUGUCUGUUUUGUCCUCCAUGGUAACUCCACCACCUAACACACUGCCUUGCACACAGUAGGCAUACUGUAAAUGUCUGUUCAUGAAUGAAUGAAGUUAUUCUGAAAUCAUUAUUUCAGCCCAACUCCACUUUUCUCUACUAUUGCUGGUAAUAAAUUAA